GAUGAACGCUGGCGGCGUGCUUAACACAUGCAAGUCGAGCGAGCAGAUGUGAAACGUUCCUUCGGAUGAAAUGUAAAAUGGAAAUCGGUGGACGGGGGAUUACCUCCCAGUCAACCUGCGCCAUAUUCAGGGAAAGCAUGCUGAAACGGAAAAAAAUAUUUUAUGACACGUAACAAGAGCAUGCUAGGGUGGUCAAGUAAUUAUUGGAAUGGGAUGGGCCUGCGUCUGAUUAGCUAGAUGGAGAGGUAACGCCGAACCAAGAGGACGAUCAGUACCCGACCUGCGAGGGUACACGGCCACAUUGGACCUGAGACACGGUCCGGGAUCCUACGGGAGGCAGCAGUGGGGAAUCUUGCCCAAUCGGGGAAACCCUGAUGCAGCUACGCCGCGUGAAACAUGAAGGCCAUUGAGUAGUAAAGUUCUGUUCUAGGUGAUGCAACCUGACAGUACCCUAGGAGAAAGCCCCGGCUAACUCCGUG
This 479-nucleotide ribosomal RNA is filed under the name uncultured bacterium. Its description in RNAcentral is "partial 16S ribosomal RNA". It matches the Rfam family "Bacterial small subunit ribosomal RNA", at positions 28 to 507 of the family's 1533-position model. The record is from RNAcentral.